Molecule: ribosomal RNA, 402 nt
Filed under: bacterium
Lineage: Bacteria
Description: partial 16S ribosomal RNA
Rfam family: Bacterial small subunit ribosomal RNA
Source: RNAcentral
UGGGGAAUUUUGCACAAUGGGGGAAACCCUGAUGCAGCGACGCCGCGUGAUUUAGAAGGCCUUCGGGUUGUAAAAAUCUUUUCUAUGGGAAGAAAAUGACAGUACCAUAGGAAUAAGGACCGGCUAAUUACGUGCCAGCAGCCGCGGUAAUACGUAAGGUCCGAGCGUUGUCCGGAAUCAUUGGGCGUAAAGGGUACGUAGGCGGGUAAGCAAGUUAGAAGGGAAAUCCUAUAGCUCAACUAUAGUAAGCUUUUAAAACUGCUCCUCUUGAGAUAGGGAAGGGAAAGUGGAAUUCCUAGUGUAGCGGUGAAAUGCGCAGAUAUUAGGAGGAAUACCGGUGGCGAAGGCGACUUUCUGGGCAUAACCUGACGCUGAGGUACGAAAGCGUGGGUAGCAAACAGG